Molecule: ribosomal RNA, 462 nt
Filed under: uncultured bacterium
Lineage: Bacteria
Description: partial 16S ribosomal RNA
Rfam family: Bacterial small subunit ribosomal RNA
Source: RNAcentral
GACGAACGCUGGCGGCGUGCUUAACACAUGCAAGUCGAGCGACGCUCUUCCUUCGGGGUGAUGACGGAGCGGCGAACGGGUGAGUAACACGUGGGCAACCCGCCCCCAGCUCUGGGACAACACCGGGAAACCGGUGCUAAUACCGGAUACGACAUCGAGCGGCACCUCUCGAUGUGGGAAGUUUUUUCGGCUAGGGAUGGGCGCGCGGCCUUUCAGCUGGUUGGUGGGGUAAUGGCCCACCAAGGCGACGACGGGUAGCCGGCCAGGGAGGGCGACCGGCCACACGGUGAGAGAGGCACGACACAGACUCCGGCGGGAGGAGGCAGUGAGAUAGAGUGCGCGGGGGGCGAAAGCCGGAGGCAGCGACGCCGCGUGAUGGAUGACUUCCUUCGGGAUAUAAACCUCUUUCGGCAGGGACGAAUUCAGACGGUACCGGCAGAAGAAGCACCGGCUAACUACGUG